Molecule: ribosomal RNA, 253 nt
Filed under: uncultured bacterium
Lineage: Bacteria
Description: partial 16S ribosomal RNA
Rfam family: Bacterial small subunit ribosomal RNA
Source: RNAcentral
UACAGAGGGUGCAAGCGUUGUUCGGAAUUAUUGGGCGUAAAGCGCGUGUAGGCGGCUUUGCAAGUCGGGUGUGAAAGCCCUCAGCUCAACUGAGGAAGUGCGCCCGAAACUGCAGAGCUUGAGUGCCGGAGAGGGUGGCGGAAUUCCCCAAGUAGAGGUGAAAUUCGUAGAUAUCAAGCGGAACACCGGUGGCGAAGGCGGCCUUCUGGACAGUGACUGACGCUGAGAUGCGAAAGCGUGGGGAGCAAACAGG